Molecule: ribosomal RNA, 468 nt
Filed under: uncultured bacterium
Lineage: Bacteria
Description: partial 16S ribosomal RNA
Rfam family: Bacterial small subunit ribosomal RNA
Source: RNAcentral
GACGAACGCUGGCGGCGUGCUUAACACAUGCAAGUCGAACGGAAAGGCCCUGCUUUUGUGGGGUGCUCGAGUGGCGAACGGGUGAGUAACACGUGAGUAACCUGCCCUUGACUUUGGGAUAACUUAAGGAAACUGGGGCUAAUACCGGAUAGGAGCUCCUGCUGCAUGGUGGGGGUUGGAAAGUUUCGGCGGUUGGGGAUGGACUCGCGGCUUAUCAGCUUGUUGGUGGGGUAGUGGCUUACCAAGGCUUUGACGGGUAGCCGGCCUGAGAGGGUGACCGGCCACAUGGGGACUGAGAUACGGCGCAGACUCCAACGGGAGGCAGCAGUGGGGAAUAUGGCACAAUGGGCGGGAGCCGGAUGCAGCGGCGCCGCGUGCGGGAUGACGGCCUUCGGGUUGUAAACCGCUUUCGCCUGUGACGAAGCGGGAGUGACGGUAAUGGGUAAAGAAGCACCGGCUAACUACGUG